This 492-nucleotide ribosomal RNA is filed under the name uncultured bacterium. Its description in RNAcentral is "partial 16S ribosomal RNA". It matches the Rfam family "Bacterial small subunit ribosomal RNA", at positions 29 to 507 of the family's 1533-position model. The record is from RNAcentral.
AGUGAACGCUGGCGGUAUGCCUAACACAUGCAAGUCGAGCGGCAGCACGAUAAGCGCUUUCCUCUACCGGUAGCGGCUGGCGGGCGGGUGAGGCAUACAUCACCAACCUAUUUUACGGGGGUGACUACGGGGAGCAACAUACACUAACACCUCAUACGUUCUACCGGUUAAAGCAGGAGAUCAUCGCACCUUUCCCGAUUCAUAUAGCUGGUGUCGGAUUAGCUAGUUGGCGGGGUAAAGGCCCACCAAGGCGACGAUCCGUAGCUGGUCUGAGAGGAUGAUCAGCCACACUGGAACUGAGACACGGUCCAGACUCCUACGGGAGGCAGCAGUGGGGAAUAUUGGACAAUGGGCGCAAGCCUGAUCCAGCCAUACCGCGUGGGUGAAGAAGGCCUUCGGGUUGUAAAGCCCUUUUGUUGGGAAAGAAAAGCAGCAGGUUAAUACCCCGCUGUUCUGACGGUACCCAAAGAAUAAGCACCGGCUAACUUCGUG